ACGCUCGACACCUACGGGGCAGCAGUGGGGAAUAUUGCACAAUGGGGGAAACCCUGAUGCAGCGACGCCGCGUGAGCGAAGAAGUAUUUCGGUAUGUAAAGCUCUAUCAGCAGGGAAGAAACUGACGGUACCUGACUAAGAAGCACCGGCUAAAUACGUGCCAGCAGCCGGGUAAUCUGAGCGGGCUGGCAAGGC
RNAcentral lists this ribosomal RNA (195 nucleotides) under uncultured bacterium. RNAcentral's name for it is "partial 16S ribosomal RNA". It matches the Rfam family "Bacterial small subunit ribosomal RNA", at positions 326 to 539 of the family's 1533-position model. The record is from RNAcentral.